GAUGAACGCUGGCGGCGUGCCUAAUACAUGCAAGUCGAGCGAACAGACGAGGAGCUUGCUCCUCUGACGUUAGCGGCGGACGGGUGAGUAACACGUGGAUAACCUACCUAUAAGACUGGGAUAACUUCGGGAAACCGGAGCUAAUACCGGAUAAUAUAUUGAACCGCAUGGUUCAAAAGUGAAAGACGGUUUUGCUGUCACUUAUAGAUGGAUCCGCGCCGCAUUAGCUAGUUGGUAAGGUAACGGCUUACCAAGGCAACGAUGCGUAGCCGACCUGAGAGGGUGAUCGGCCACACUGGAACUGAGACACGGUCCAGACUCCUACGGGAGGCAGCAGUAGGGAAUCUUCCGCAAUGGGCGAAAGCCUGACGGAGCAACGCCGCGUGAGUGAUGAAGGUCUUCGGAUCGUAAAACUCUGUUAUUAGGGAAGAACAAAUGUGUAAGUAACUGUGCACGUCUUGACGGUACCUAAUCAGAAAGCCACGGCUAACUACGUG
RNAcentral lists this ribosomal RNA (497 nucleotides) under uncultured bacterium. RNAcentral's name for it is "partial 16S ribosomal RNA". It matches the Rfam family "Bacterial small subunit ribosomal RNA", at positions 28 to 507 of the family's 1533-position model. The record is from RNAcentral.